RNAcentral lists this ribosomal RNA (346 nucleotides) under uncultured Acremonium. Its description in RNAcentral is "SSU rRNA". It matches the Rfam family "Eukaryotic small subunit ribosomal RNA", at positions 20 to 370 of the family's 1831-position model. The record is from RNAcentral. Lineage: Eukaryota; Fungi; Ascomycota.
GUAGUCAUAUGCUUGUCUCAAAGAUUAAGCCAUGCAUGUCUAAGUAUAAGCAAUUAUACAGCGAAACUGCGAAUGGCUCAUUAUAUAAGUUAUCGUUUAUUUGAUAGUACUUUCCUACAUGGAUAACCGUGGUAAUUCUAGAGCUAAUACAUGCUAAAAAUCCCGACUUCGGAAGGGAUGUAUUUAUUAGAUUAAAAACCAAUGCCCUUCGGGGCUCACUGGUGAUUCACAAUAACUUCACGGAUCGCACGGCCUUGCGCCGGCGAUGGUUCAUUCAAAUUUCUUCCCUAUCAACUUUCGAUGUUUGGGUCUUGGCCAAACAUGGUUGCAACGGGUAACGGGGAAU